UUGUUCACUGAUAUUUCAACCGUUACUUUUUUGACUGGUUUGACCUCGCUAGACCGAAUCAUCAUAACAUAUUGUGAGGCUUCUUGGGUUCCCCCCUGUAUACUAUCUCGAUCAUGUUCGUUUCCUAAUGAGUUGGCAAUGAGUUCUAGUUGAUGUUGGGUGCCUCUAGAGUUUGGACUUCAAUUCGGUUUGUGUCAAUGAGCUCCUGGAUGGCAUUUUUCAAGUGACAACACCAUGCCCCGGAGUACCAGAACAAUAUUCACAGCUCACAGAGUAACCAAGAUUCUUUGGAUGAGGGUUUGGCAAUUUCGAUUCAAUUGGCCCCAGCAUAUCCAACUGCGUCAAUCUAUGGAAUAAACUGGUAUAAGACUCCCCAAUGGGUUGAAGGUUUUCUUCCGCUGCAACCUCUCAUCUUUGAAUGCUGGAUUGGGCCGAAAACCUAGGCCGGCAUGGUUUUGGUUGGAUCGUAGGGGUGGGUAAGCAUUUUUUGGAGCUGGGUAGGUGUUUUGUGGGGCUGGGGUACGCCAUUUUGCAUAGGUAGGAGGUUAAGUAUAUGUCUGGGCAUGGUGGACAGAAAUAUGAGGGCCUGGUAAUGGGAAGUAUUGUUGGAGUGAAUUACAUGGGGUUUGGUUGUAGGUUCGGUGAGGGGGUCGAGGCUGGGUAUAAUGGUGUGACGGGCCCCUCGAUCCAAACCAUGAUCCUGAAUCAACCAUUGCCACAUCUUCUUUCUUCUUCUUUCCGAUCACUCCUCCAGUACCAUUUUGAAUGGCUUGGGUAGUCGCAUUGAUGGUCGAGUAGCUCAUAAAUUUUCUUGAUUUAAGCCCUUCUUCCACCAUGCCACCCAUCUUUACUACUUCUUUGAAAGUCUUGCAUAUGGCCGAAGUAAGUAGGCUCCACAACCUGUAGAAAGUACUCCACCAUUUCGCUCUCCUCCAUCGGGGGGUUAACGUUUGCUGCUUGUUCUCUCCAUCGAAAACCAUCUUCUCUGAAACUUUCACUAGGCUUCUUCUCAAGCUUAGUCAAAGACAAACGAUCUAGAACAAUCUCGAUGUUGUACUGGAAAUAACGAGCGAAUGCUUGGGCCAAAUCAUCCUAGGUAUACCAUCUACUGUGAUCUUAACGAGUGUACUACUAUAAUGCUGUGCCACUCAAACUUGGCAAAAGUAUGCCAUUAACAACUCAUUUUUCCCACCGGCUCCUCUCAUUUUGCUACAAAAUCCCCUUAAGUGGGCCACGGGUCUCUGUGCCCGUCAUACAAGUCGAACUUGGGCAUUUUGAAUCCAGCAGGUAACUGGACAUUAGGGAACAGACACAGAUCUUUGUAGGCUACACUCACUUGGCUUCCCAACCCCUGCAUGUUGAUGAGCGACUGUUCCAAGCUUCUCACCUUCCUGAAAAUCUCCUCAUGUUCCGUGUUCUUGGGUGGUUUCUCAGUUUCAACAUGAGGCUCAAAGUGAGGAGUGUAGGAGUAAGGAUCUGGAAUUUUGAAAGUGGGUUCCGGGCAUAGUAUUGGGUAUCUAGGGCUUGGAAUGCGGGUUUACUAGAGUGUAGGAGUGUAGGAGUGUAGGAGUAAGGAUCUGGAAUUUUGAAAGUGGUUCCGGGCAUAGUAUUGGGUAUCUAGGGCUUGGAAUGCGGGUUUACUAGAGUGUAGGAGUGUAGGAGUGUAGGAGUAAGGAUCUGGAAUUUUGAAAGUGGGUUCCGGGCAAAGUAUUGGGUAUCUAGGGCUUGGAAUGCGGGUUCACUAGAGGAUCGGUGGAGGGUAGCUUGUGAAGGAGGUACAAAAAUAGGAGUAGAUGUCGAAGCAGGGUACGAGGUUGUUUUGGCUGGUGGAGCAUGAAAAUUUUGGGCCGAAGUGUCAGGUAGUUGUGGUAAGGGUAAAGCCCAGUGCGUGUUGUGGGGAAAGGUCAAUGGCAUUAGGCAUCUAGGAUUAGGAGAGUGGUGGAAUGAAAGCAGGGUUUACUGUGUAGUUGGUAAGGAACGAGGGUGGAGGGUGUCCCUUGAUCCAAGCUUGAUACAUUUCCGCCAUCUGAUGUUUCAACCUUCUGACCUCAUCUUGCAGUUCCGAUUCUGACUCAACAAUUUCCCUUGGUGGGUCUACAACUUCUGUGUCUGUUUCUUUGCUGGCCAUGACUGUUUGGCGCUUUGACCUGGUUUUGUAUGGAUGACUUGCCAGGAUGCCAACAAACUAACCACCUUCCUAAAGUUGGAAUAAAUAUAACAAGGGAAAACAACACAAAAACCACCAUGUUAGCGUUAGGGCAUUUAUCAGAUAAUAAUAUCACAUUACGUGCAAUGCACCUAACAACAAUUAGCGGUUCUAAAAUGGCUUUGAGGGUCGCAGGGUCAUAUGGAAGCAUCCUAAUUUGCUCAUUUCAAUCCUUGUUUCUCUUCCUUUUCUAUCACCUCUUAUCAUUCUCUUCUCACUCUCGUCUUUUGGCUUAUCACUCUUUUUUUUUUUACCAAAAAUGGUUUGAUUGAACCCGAUAUUGGUUGCCUACAUAUUAUGUCCCUCAUGAAUGAGACCAAGCGUAGUUCUGGAAAAGUGAUGGAAAAUAAACUAAAAAUAAAACUUUUUUGGGAUUUUUCAUUUAAAAACUUUUCGAUAUUAAAAUACAAUGGGAAGUACGAUAAUGAAAGACCUGACAGACUCAACUACACUACGACAGACUCAGACACUACCUAAAGGACUCAGUACUCCUAGACAAGACAGGAAAUUAAAAGACAACAUAAGAAAAUCUCAAAACACCUAAAUAGAAUGACUCCUUAAGCUGCUCCUGAAUGCGACAGUCUUGGCUGGGACGGGUCUGAUGAAGAUCCGGAUGGCCCUGUCAAUCCUGUCGAAUCUAAGCUCUGUAUUAUACCCUGCAAAGACAUCUCAAAACUGGGAAUGAGAAUCCUGGAAUGCGCGUUUGCAUCUAGAAGGCUGACUCUAGUAAGGUACUCAUGGUGUUGUCCCAUGUUCUCUACCAACCCUGCCAACUGUGAUCUCAAUGACUGAAGUGUAGCUCAAACCCCAACCCUUUCUGCUGCAUGGGCCUCUUCUGCCUGGAUAAAUCGAUCCAUCAACUGUCUAAGCAAUAUCCGUGAGGUGGCCUCCUCGUCAAAUACUCCUCUAACAUGUUG
This 3123-nucleotide long non-coding RNA is filed under the name Nicotiana tabacum (common tobacco). RNAcentral's name for it is "long non-coding RNA (NTAB_LNC014395)". Lineage: Eukaryota; Viridiplantae; Streptophyta; Magnoliopsida; Solanales; Solanaceae. The record is from RNAcentral.